RNAcentral lists this transfer RNA (74 nucleotides) under Deltaproteobacteria bacterium. RNAcentral's name for it is "tRNA-Arg". It matches the Rfam family "tRNA". From Rfam's summary of the family: Transfer RNA (tRNA) molecules are approximately 80 nucleotides in length. Their secondary structure includes four short double-helical elements and three loops (D, anti-codon, and T loops). The record is from RNAcentral. RNAcentral also lists the same sequence under 1 other name. Lineage: Bacteria; Pseudomonadati; Myxococcota; Myxococcia.
GUGCCCGUAGCUCAAUCGGAUAGAGCAGCGGCCUUCUAAGCCGCCGGUUGCGCGUUCGAGUCGCGCCGGGCGCA